Molecule: unclassified non-coding RNA, 237 nt
Filed under: uncultured fungus
Lineage: Eukaryota; Fungi
Description: sequence contains ITS1
Source: RNAcentral
GUUUUGUGUUUUAGGCGGCGCAAAAGUCCGCAAUUACAUUCUUCAAAACUGGAGUUUGUAUGCGGCUUCGAGGGUCUGGCGCGAACCAGUCCCCCUCUGCCGUGAAGGUUCACAGUGGGUUUGUGAGGUUUGAACAGGGGCGGCCACCCGCUGCACGGCCCGUCUGGACCGGAGCAGGGCAAACCGCACCCCGUCAGAGAUACGUUAAUGAUCCUUCCGCAGGUUCACCUACGGAAA